ACUCCUACGGGAGGCAGCAGUGGGGAAUAUUGCACAAUGGGCGCAAGCCUGAUGCAGCCAUGCCGCGUGUGUGAAGAAGGCCUUCGGGUUGUAAAGCACUUUCAGCAGUGAGGAAGGCGGAGUCGUUAAUAGCGGCCUCGUUUGACGUUAGCUGCAGAAGAAGCACCGGCUAACUCCGUGCCAGCAGCCGCGGUAAUACGGAGGGUGCGGAGCGUUAAUCGGAAUUACUGGGCGUAAAGCGCAUGCAGGCGGCCUGUUAAGUCAGAUGUGAAAGCCCGGGGCUUAACCUCGGAAAUUGCAAUUUGAAACUAGGCAGGCUAAGAGUCUUGUAGAGGGGGGUAGAAUUUCAGGUGUAGCGGUGAAAUGCGUAGAGAU
This 375-nucleotide ribosomal RNA is filed under the name uncultured bacterium. RNAcentral describes it as "bacterial SSU rRNA". It matches the Rfam family "Bacterial small subunit ribosomal RNA", at positions 335 to 697 of the family's 1533-position model. The record is from RNAcentral.